UAUCCCCCAAACCAAGGGGGGAUGAGAACCACCGACCGGGGUUCGACAACUGGCGCAGCCAGUUGGACAGACGACGAGCUGCGAGGAGACUGCCCGAAGGGCGAGCGCAGCGAGUCAAUCCCCCCCUCACCGCCA
Molecule: small RNA, 135 nt
Filed under: Salmonella enterica subsp. enterica serovar Kentucky
Lineage: Bacteria; Pseudomonadati; Pseudomonadota; Gammaproteobacteria; Enterobacterales; Enterobacteriaceae
Description: RtT sRNA
Rfam family: RtT RNA
About the family: This family represents a bacterial cis-regulatory element known as RtT RNA. The exact function of RtT is unknown although it is thought that it may be involved in changing the cellular response in relation to amino acid starvation.
Source: RNAcentral